GUACAGCUGUGACUAGAUAUCAAUAAGCGGAGGAAAAGAAAACUAACAAGGACUCCCCUAGUAACGGCGAGUGAAGCGGGAAGAGCUCAAAUUUGAAAUCUUAAAGGGUUUCCCUUUACGAAUUGUAGUUUAAAGAAGUGUUUUCUGUUGAGGUUUUGGUAAAAGUUCUUUGGAAUAGGACAUCAUAGAGGGUGAGAAUCCCGUAUUUGACCUUUACUUUCAACUUUGUGAUACACUUUCAAAGAGUCGGAUUGUUUGGGAAUGCAGUCCAAAAUGGGUGGUAAAUUUCAUCUAAAGCUAAAUAUUGGCGAGAGACCGAUAGCGAACAAGUACCGUGAGGGAAAGAUGAAAAGAACUUUGAAAAGAGAGUUAAACAGUACGUGAAAUUGUCAAAAGGGAAGCGUUUGACACCAGUGUUGUUUUUCUGAAAAUCAAUUAAAGAACUGUUUAUGCUAAGCUGUUUAGACUUUAUCAGCUAACUGUUUAGUUUUGAGCUUUUCUUUAAUGCACUUUUCAGUUAACAAGUCAACAUCAAUUUCUUUUGCUGUAAAAAAGGCUUGAGGAAGGUGGCUUGAGAUUCGUCUUAAGUGUUUAUAGCCUCUUGCCUAUGCAGUCGGAGAGAUUGAGGUCUGCAGCGUAGAUCCUUCGGGGCUAAAUGCAUUUGUGCUAAGUUAUAGCAUUUUAUAGGCAACUUGUUGACUAUGAUUUGUCUUGUAGCUUACUCGCUUAUGUUAUUUUACCUACGCUUAGGAUGUUGAGUCGUAGAGCACGCAG
Molecule: ribosomal RNA, 774 nt
Filed under: uncultured Neocallimastigales
Lineage: Eukaryota; Fungi; Neocallimastigomycota; Neocallimastigomycetes; Neocallimastigales
Description: partial large subunit ribosomal RNA
Rfam family: Eukaryotic large subunit ribosomal RNA
Source: RNAcentral